RNAcentral lists this long non-coding RNA (1267 nucleotides) under Numida meleagris (helmeted guineafowl). RNAcentral's name for it is "lncRNA (ENSNMEG00000010046.1)". The record is from RNAcentral. Lineage: Eukaryota; Metazoa; Chordata; Aves; Galliformes; Numididae.
CUCCACAGAGCAACAGAAUUGUAAUGUUUCCUCUUCUAUGUCUUCCUCACAAAGUAAAAUCCACUAGGACCUAAUAUGUGCUCUAUUCAGUAAAUGCCUCCGUAUGAUCUGAUAUACUGCAUGCCUGCCAAUAGGAAUACAUUUUUGGAUAUAAGGAAGGGCUGCCUCUUCUCUUCUGAAAUUAACUCUUCAUAUAGAAACACCUACUCUGUCAUAUUGAGAGUUAUUGACUCCAGAGUUACUGACACUGGUCCAGAGGAGCAUCUGAGGGGUUAGCAUAAUGCCAGUAACAGAGAUAGAAGCUAAGAAGUGCAUGUAUUAACAACAUCAGUUGUAUUACUUUCAUUAUUAUGACCUUUUCUAUAUGAUUCUAUGAUAUAAGCACUCUGCCCACGUGUCUGCUUUUCUGUAAUAAUUAGAACUAGAUUAAUGAUGAUUUCUGAAUUAGACUGUUGAGAUUUAAAUUAUGCUAACAAUAUAUUCUUGGCUUAAAUUAAUGCAUAUAUAAGAUAUGCUUCCUCUACACCCAUAAGAAAUAUUUGAAUGUAAUAGAAUUCAACCUACCUUACCACUGCUGCCCUUUCUGUCUUGCUGUUCUAACUUCUAGUUGACAUAAAUGGACAAGUAGCCAGCUCAUAGAGCUGACACCACUUGGUAUUCAGCAAAAUGUCUGCGUACAGAGGAGAGAUCUGAUGUCAGUACAGUAAUCUGUAUUCUCACGUUAGUGUUUUUGUUUCAAUCAGGAGUGAAGCUUAAGGGAGGAUCUUACAAUAACUCUGAUGUGUUAUACUUUGGUUUCUGUUGCGGAGCUUGGAAGAUCACAAACUGAAUUCUGCUGGGAAAAAAUUAGGUAAGAAGAGGUUAGGGCCUCACCAAAAGCACUCCAGCUGGAAAUGGCCAUGCAGACCGUGGCACUAGGUUAGAGUAAUACUAAGCAAAAAGCUUCGAGAUACGAAGAGUAUGAGAACAACAUCCAUAAAAACAACCCUUGUUUACUGCAGGUCCAAUUCUGCUGCUCCAAGUUAUAUCUUAAAUUAGAAACAGAAUGUGUUUCUGGCAAAAACUGGUGAGGUUUUCUACCUCCUACAUGUCAACAGUGCUCAAGAAGCUUAGACACAUGACCUUCUUUCCAAAUUCCCUGCCUUCUUGCACCAAGGAACAUUUGUUCCUUUGCUCUGAUAAAUGCCUGAGUUGCUGAUGACAGUAUCAUUUAACUCUCCAAAUGAAGCAUUUGAUUGGAUAGGCAAAAUCCCUCAUGGAGACCAGA